RNAcentral lists this long non-coding RNA (516 nucleotides) under Mus musculus (house mouse). Its description in RNAcentral is "predicted gene 13861 (Gm13861)". The record is from RNAcentral. Lineage: Eukaryota; Metazoa; Chordata; Mammalia; Rodentia; Muridae.
ACUGUGAAGAGUUCUCUACUUGCUGGAAGCACCAGGGAGGAAAGAAUCAUUUAUGUAAGGAUGAAAGUUCUAGAUUUCUCAUGGGAAAGUGGUUGAUGUCUUUGAUAACUUUCUCGUGGAUGCGGACGUGUAAGACGCAGACUUCUGAGGAAAACAACAUCCUUCAACUCAGAGUCACUGUUUACCUGAGGCUGGUGUUUAGCAUGGAUGGCCAUUGAACAUCCUGAGGGGUGGAAGCCUGGCCUGGACAAGCCUCAGGCUGUUGAGACACUCUGAUGGGAUGUCCCUCCCAUCUGAUCACUUCACCAUCCCUUCGCCAUCCUUUCUUGACCUUGUUCCUGCUCUGAAAUGUCUGGAAUGCUUGGUGGGAAUGAAGCAGCUGGUCAUUAGGCAAUAAUGCCUCUAUCACAUAAGAGAGGAACCCUUUGUGGACCGAUUUCCAUGCAACACUUGGGGGCAUCUCAGCGGAGUUAAGAAUGUAAGAGCGGUGCGACUACAAUAAACAGAGCUUCAGGA